UAUAUGAUUGUUAAUGCAGUUGGUGAGUAUUCUAUUGUCGUGCGUGUGGUUUGCUCACCCACUUAGCUCGGAGCAACUAAUCGGAGCAGUUAUUGUGUUUGGUUCUAUAUACUCUAAAAACAUCUUUAGAAGUAAACCGAAGCCAACGUUGCCUGAACAAACAGAAAACGGGUCUUCUAGUCCGCCUAGGGCUACUACUGCAUAAGACGUGGGCUGUGUAGCUGGGCUAUCGGCUUAUAGGGGCUUCAGCUCACUAAACUCUGUUUAUUAACUGUUUCUUGAAAGAUGGCCAUCUUUGCAGAUUUGGGGUCCCACUCCCACCCAAUAUUUAUAACAAAACGGCUUUGCUUGGAGUAAUUUUAACCGUAACUCCUGCAAGCAACAAAAAUACUUCCAGAAUUUUCUCAGGUGACCUCCAUCUGAUGAUAGGAUAUUAACCAUAUAGCCAUAUAGCCAUUUCCUUUUUUUUUUUUUUUUUUUGUUUUUUUUACAGUUGGAACUGUUUAUUUUUGAUACCUUAGAAAUGGUUAGAGCAGUUGAUAUUUAUUGAAAUUUUCGUGUUUUUAAUUUA
Molecule: non-coding RNA, 571 nt
Organism: Erythranthe guttata (spotted monkey flower)
Lineage: Eukaryota; Viridiplantae; Streptophyta; Magnoliopsida; Lamiales; Phrymaceae
Source: RefSeq, a predicted model, not a curated record